This 503-nucleotide ribosomal RNA is filed under the name uncultured bacterium. RNAcentral describes it as "bacterial SSU rRNA". It matches the Rfam family "Bacterial small subunit ribosomal RNA", at positions 26 to 518 of the family's 1533-position model. The record is from RNAcentral.
AGAACGAACGCUGGCGGCGCGUCUUAAGCAUGCAAGUCGAACGGCAAGAGGUAGCAAUACCUCCUAGAGUGGCGGACUGGUGAGUAACACGUGGGUGACAUACCCUUCAGAUGGGGAUAGCUAUUAGAAAUAGUAGAUAAUACCGAAUACGAGCACAGGGGUUAGAGAUCUGUGAGGAAAGGAGCUAAGGCUCCGCUGAAGGAAUGGCCUGCGGCCCAUUAGCUAGUUGGUGAGGUAAGAGCCCACCAAGGCGAUGAUGGGUAUCCGGCCUUAGAGGGUGAACGGACACAUUGGGACUGAGAUACGGCCCAGACUCCUACGGGAGGCAGCAGCUAAGAAUAUUCCGCAAUGGACGAAAGUCUGACGGAGCGACGCCGCGUGGAUGAAGAAGGCCGGAAGGUUGUAAAAUCCUUUUGAAACUGAAGAAUAAGCGUUGUAGGGAAUGACAGCGUGGUGACAGUAGGUUUUGAAUAAGCAACGGCUAAUUACGUGCCAGCAGCGGC